Molecule: long non-coding RNA, 1473 nt
Organism: Orcinus orca (killer whale)
Lineage: Eukaryota; Metazoa; Chordata; Mammalia; Artiodactyla; Delphinidae
Exons: 2
Source: RefSeq, a predicted model, not a curated record
GAUACAGCAGGGAACAGAACAAAGGUCUGGACUCAUCCUUGAGCUAGAUAUAGAUUUGGAAGUCAUCAGUGUGAUAGUAUAAAAAGAUAGAACUGGAUGAGGUCCCCAGGGAAUACCGUAGCUAGAAUAGAGCAAAAGGAGUUCAAGUGAGCACCAACUUUUAGAGACUGAGAGAAGGAAGAGGAAUCAGCAAAGAAGACUGAGAAGGUAGGAAGAGAAACAAGAGAGGCUGAGUAAAGAAAGUGAUCAGAUUCAGCUCUGACUUCAAAAAUGGAACAGGCAGAAGUCAGGCUGGAUACGUAUUAAGGAAUUAGGAAUUAGAAAUAUGAAUUCUGCCAUAAAAUAUUGAUGCAGAACAUCCCAUAUCAAUAGUUGCAAAAACUAAAAAAAAAAAAAAAAAAGAUCUCCCCUGCAAAGAGUUUUUCUCAGGAAACAAACACAAAAGAUGGAAAUCCCAGAUGCUCAGAGGGCAUGGGACGAAUUCCAUGUCACUUAUAUAUGUGUCUUUCAUGAGUGUCUUGCUGGCUGGAUCCCAGGUGAUCUUCUUUGGGAUGAAUGCCUUUAACAUGAGAAACUGGUCAUAGUACAGACAAAUUUCCACAGGCUGCGCCAGUCCUGGUUCUAAGCUCACCAGUGUAAACUUCUCCAUGGCAAGCUACAGAAGCUGGCAUCAGUAAAUAAGUAAAUUAUAUCCUUCAUUUUGAUUCCUUUACCAGUGCUCUGUUUUGUCUCCUGCCUGUUAAAUACUGUAAAGAAUAAUGUAGGGUUUAGUCGUCCACUGUCAUUAAAUUCCUAAGUUAUUCAACUUUGCCUAGAGUUGACAAAGGAAGAUGAACAAAAUUUCCGCCAUCAAUCAUGUUGUCUGAUGUGGAUGUGAAACAGAGCAGGACCCUAUGGUCCUUGCCUCCCAUGUCCUCAGCCUGCCUUUUGUCUGUGGAAAAACUUUAGCCAAAGAAUAGUUUAAUCAGAGAAGUGAGAAAAUGCAAAGAAAGGAAAACAGUCCAACAAGACUAAAUAAUGAUAGUGUAGUCAUUAAGCAUAGUCAAUGACCUUUAGAUCCUCUUCAAGGGCUAUAGAUAAUAUUCUGAGCCAUAUCCUUUUAGCUGUCUUAUAGAGACCAAAACUCCCACCAGGUGGAAGAAGUUUACGUGACAACCAGAUCGUAGCCAUGAUGUAAGCUGCCACAUUUCCAAGAACUGGUGUCAAAGAAAUGGGAAGAAACAGACCCUGGAACUGAAGAUUAACUGUACUUAAAACAAUCAAGAUGAUGCUGAUGAGACCACCGCAUGACCAAUUUCAAGAUGAUUGUCAGAGCUGACUGUGCUGUUUCUGCAUGUAGCCCCCUCCCUUAACCUAUGAAAACUCUUGCCCACUGAUUGUCGGGGUUGCGGGGGGGAGUGGGCCUUGGGACAGGAGUCUGCCCUCCUCCACCCAGGUUGCCGGCCUUGGAAAUAAAAAAAACUUUCCUUUCCA